CUCAACCCUUGUGUUAUUCUAGGCAUGUUUACAUUGAAAGUGGGGUCAUUUGGACCCCACAAGACAGCACACAGGACCCUAUUUUUCAAGGACUUUUUUUGCCUUCACUGGUGUCUGUGGCAGACAAAAACCUGUCCACCUUUGUCAUGGGAGGGGUCACACCAAUAUAAGGGUGGGGUCAUCUGGGCCCCUUAAGAGAGCACGAGGGUUAAAUGGACUUGUGCUUUCCUGUUUUUCCAUCUAAAAUCUCAGCUUCACUGAAUCAAUUUCACAAAUCUAGAGGACGAAUCAAAUGCCCUCCAGACAGGCGGCGUGCUCUCACUGGACAAUUCUGCUCAAGAGUUUGAAAAGUCAUUUUAAGAUCAAACUGUUGCACUGCAAAGCAUUCCUGCAAACUGUUGGGACUUGGAAUAUUCCUGAGGAACCUGGUCUUUCAGUGCAUUCGCUCUGUCAGCUGACCCGACCUGCUGCCAAAAGAAACGCAUUCGUCACGCGGUGUUUUUCCAGGGAAAAGUUCAGCUCAGGUAUGGACACGUUUACCUGCAGUCAGCUGAUUUCAUUCAGACCAGACGGCCUGGUUCCUGCUCAGGAAAAACAUCUUUACACCCACAACAAGUUGGACAACUACUGAAAGAGUUUCUUCGAAAAAGCUGUAUGUGAAGAGGUGGUUUAAAAACAGAGCUCGCUCGGUUUGUGCGCAUGCGCGUGCAGCAGGUGUGGGUUCUUGCUCCUCCACGCCAGACUGGAAGGUUACAGUUUGUGACUUUAACUUUAGACCAAAAGAGGAAGUCGAUAUGUAUUCUUCAAGUCUUCACAAGCAGCAGAGCAAAGCCUUCCCGCCGCUCCACGGGACGCUCUGCGCAUGCGCAGGAGCCAGCCGCAGUCCUUUAGCUUCAGUUUAGCGAACAUGAACGGUCACAUGAGGACUCUGUGAUCAACAUGUUUGUUUGUCGCAUGACGUCAAUGUUUGGGUUUCUACCCAGAGCAGCGCAAAGCUGCAGAGACGAGAAUAACUGCAGGUUCGCCCCAAAAAGCAGCGCAGACAACAGCGACCUGCAGCCAGGAGUUUUCUGUCGACACGACUCGAGAACCUCCAGGACAACAGAAGUGACUGCUCUUACCUGGUGUCGUCCAACAGGUUAUGCAGUCUGCACAGGAUCGGGGAUCCCAAAAAAAGCGGAACAAACGAGGCUUUAUGGAGCUUUAAAUAUCCAUACCACGUCACAGGAAGGCUACGGAGCCCCUGAAAGAAUCAAAAAAUUUCAGUUUCAAACCUUUUGGCCCCAACGUGCUGAAGAUGCUAGAGCUGAUACCUGAAAACGCUGAAGCUGAUAGCUUGCUACUGUCAUGAAGGAGCUGCAGACAUGCAGUUGGAUCGUCUGUUGCCUCUGUUGCUGAGUCAGUGAGUUCCAGUGUGUCUCCGUUUCUCACCUGCCUGUUCAAACACUCUUCCAAGCCGCUUCCUCCUGCACUGACCUGUCACGUUCUCCUUCUGGAGCCCUCUCUCUGUUUGAACAGGAUCUUCUGCUGUUCCUCUGGAUUCCCAAGAUGACAGGAGAGACUGAGACUAAUGGAUUCUAAUCAAGUUCUGCUCUAGUCAGACCUCCAGCGUCUCUCCCCUCUCACUCCACCCUCCACUUUCAACAUCUCCGCCCUCCUGAGAAAAGACUGUUCCUCCACCUGUGGACCAUAGACUUUUCCCUGAAGCUCUUCUCCAUCCUGAGCCUAAAUAAACUUUUUCUG
Molecule: long non-coding RNA, 1743 nt
Filed under: Oryzias javanicus (javanese ricefish)
Lineage: Eukaryota; Metazoa; Chordata; Actinopteri; Beloniformes; Adrianichthyidae
Description: lncRNA (ENSOJAG00000004848.1)
Source: RNAcentral